Molecule: ribosomal RNA, 517 nt
Filed under: uncultured Staphylococcus sp.
Lineage: Bacteria; Bacillati; Bacillota; Bacilli; Caryophanales; Staphylococcaceae
Description: bacterial SSU rRNA
Rfam family: Bacterial small subunit ribosomal RNA
Source: RNAcentral
AGAGUUUGAUCCUGGCUCAGGAUGAACGCUGGCGGCGUGCCUAAUACAUGCAAGUCGAGCGAACAGAUAAGGAGCUUGCUCCUUUGACGUUAGCGGCGGACGGGUGAGUAACACGUGGGUAACCUACCUAUAAGACUGGAAUAACUCCGGGAAACCGGGGCUAAUGCCGGAUAAUAUUUAGAACCGCAUGGUUCUAAAGUGAAAGAUGGUUUUACUAUCACUUAUAGAUGGACCCGCGCCGUAUUAGCUAGUUGGUGGGGUAAUGGCUUACCAAGGCAACGAUACGUAGCCGACCUGAGAGGGUGAUCGGCCACACUGGAACUGAGACACGGUCCAGACUCCUACGGGAGGCAGCAGUAGGGAAUCUUCCGCAAUGGGCGAAAGCCUGACGGAGCGACGCCGCGUGAGUGAUGAAGGUCUUCGGAUCGUAAAACUCUGUUAUUAGGGAAGAACAAAUGUGUAAGUAACUGUGCACGUCUUGACGGUACCUAAUCAGAAAGCCACGGCUAACUACGUG